UAGCUUUGUCCUAAGUCAAAUUUCUUAAAUUUUGACAAAGUUUAUAGAAAAGUGUACUGAUAUCUACAAUAUCAAAUAAGUAUUCCAUGAAGAUAUAUAUCACGACGGAUUUAAUAAAAUUAAUACAGAGUUGUAAAUGUUGGUAGAUUUUUCUAUAAACUUGGUCAAACUAUAAAAAGUUUGAUUUAGGACAAAGCUAG
RNAcentral lists this microRNA precursor (200 nucleotides) under Brachypodium distachyon (stiff brome). RNAcentral's name for it is "MIR1435 microRNA precursor family". It matches the Rfam family "MIR1435 microRNA precursor family". Lineage: Eukaryota; Viridiplantae; Streptophyta; Magnoliopsida; Poales; Poaceae. The record is from Rfam by way of RNAcentral.